GAGGCGAUCCGGAGCACUUCUCCUCCACGGAGGAUGCUCAGGCUGUCCGUCUGAGGCAGCGGCCGACCGUCCUUUACCCAGCACUUUGAGUUUGAAGUGGCGACGGGCUUCUCCAGCCUGGUUACGUGAGACACAGGUGUAGCGUCCCGUGUGGUCUACCUGGAUGUGGGAUAUCUGCAGAGUGCUGUUGUGGUUUAGCAGGGUCAUGUGGGUAUCCGUGGACAAAGCAGCUCCCUCCUUCAUCCAGGACAGGGAUGGGUUUGGGGUCCCACUGGAGACACACACCAGGGCAACCAUGCUCCCCCUCACCAACGUCACAUCAUCAGUACUGCCUGCUCCAUCCAGACUAGGAGGAACUGAACAUUCAACAACCAAGAGCGCAUUAAGGAAGAACACACAGAUGCCAGUGCACAUAAUUAAACUUGCUUUACUCAGUUAGAUGAUUAAAAAAAAUUUAAAUAUC
This is a long non-coding RNA of Neoarius graeffei (lesser salmon catfish), 463 nucleotides long. RefSeq lists it as uncharacterized. The transcript is spliced from 2 exons. Lineage: Eukaryota; Metazoa; Chordata; Actinopteri; Siluriformes; Ariidae. The record is from RefSeq and is a predicted model, not a curated record.